AAUCGAACUCGGAUAUAGCUGGUUCUCCCCGAAAUAGGUUUAGGCCUAGCCUUGAAUUAUUUCAUCCUGGAGGUAGAGCACUGAAUGUGGAAUGGCCGCGUCUAGCGGUACUGACUGCAAUCAACCUCCGAAUGCCAGGAAUUGUAGAUUCAGGAGUCAGUGUAUGAGGUGAUAACGUCCAUACGCGAGAGGAAAACAAUCCAGACCAUCAACUAAGGUCCCUAAAUAUAUGUUAAGUGGGAAAGGAUGUGGAGACGCACGAACAGCUAGGAGGUUGGCUUAGAAGCAGCCAUCCUUUAAAGAGUGCGUAAUAGCUCACUAGUCGAGUAUCUCUGCGCCGAAAAUGUACCGGGGCUAAACAUAUUACCGAAGUUAUGGAUUUAUAAUUUAUUAUAAAUGGUAGGGGAGCGUUCUAAGGGCGCUGAAGGUAGAUCGUGAGGACUACUGGAGCGCUUAGAAGUGAGAAUGCCGGUGUGAGUAACGUAAGGUAGGUGAGAAUCCUACCCACUAUUUGACCAAGGUUUCCAGGGUCAAGUUCGUCUUCCCUGGGUUAGUCGGGACCUAAGGCGAGGCUGAAAAGCGUAGUCGAUGGACAACAGGUUUAUAUUCCUGUACUGCUUAUAGGACUGAUGGAGUGACGGAGAAAGCUAGAAAGAGCCAGUUAUUGGAUUCUGGUCUAAGCGUUUAGGUUGAUGCACAGGAAAAUCCGUGAUAUCGAUAAGACUGAAGCGUGAUGGCGACGUGGUCUACGGACCGCUAAGUCUUUUGAAGCUAUGCUUCCAAGAAAAACUUCUAAAGAUAUGUUAUAAGUACCCGUACCUAGAACCAACACAGGUGGUCAAGGAGAGAAUCCUAAGGUGAGCGAGAGAACUAUGGUUAAGGAACUCGGCAAAAUUACCCCGUAACUUCGGAAUAAGGGGAGGUUUCUUCGGAAACCCGCAGUGAAUAGGUCCAGGCAACUGUUUACCAAAAACACAGGUCUCUGCUAAAGCGUAAGCUGAUGUAUAGGGGCUGACGCCUGCCCAGUGCUGGAAGGUUAAGAUGAUUUGUUAGGUGGACGAAAGUCGAUAACACCGAAGCUUUGAUUUGAAGCCCCAGUGAACGGCGGCGAUAACUAUAAUCGUCCAAAGGUAGCGAAAUUCCUUGUCAGGUAAGUUC
RNAcentral lists this ribosomal RNA (1158 nucleotides) under human gut metagenome. Its description in RNAcentral is "bacterial LSU rRNA". It matches the Rfam family "Bacterial large subunit ribosomal RNA", at positions 831 to 1983 of the family's 2925-position model. The record is from RNAcentral.